Molecule: ribosomal RNA, 910 nt
Filed under: uncultured bacterium
Lineage: Bacteria
Description: bacterial SSU rRNA
Rfam family: Bacterial small subunit ribosomal RNA
Source: RNAcentral
AGAGUUUGAUCCUGGCUCAGAUUGAACGCUGGCGGCAUGCCUUACACAUGCAAGUCGAACGGCAGCGCGGGGCAACCUGGCGGCGAGUGGCGAACGGGUGAGUAAUAUAUCGGAACGUACCCUGGAGUGGGGGAUAACGUAGCGAAAGUUACGCUAAUACCGCAUACGAUCUAAGGAUGAAAGUGGGGGAUCGCAAGACCUCAUGCUCCUGGAGCGGCCGAUAUCUGAUUAGCUAGUUGGUGGGGUAAAGGCCUACCAAGGCAUCGAUCAGUAGCUGGUCUGAGAGGACGACCAGCCACACUGGAACUGAGACACGGUCCAGACUCCUACGGGAGGCAGCAGUGGGGAAUUUUGGACAAUGGGCGAAAGCCUGAUCCAGCAAUGCCGCGUGAGUGAAGAAGGCCUUCGGGUUGUAAAGCUCUUUUGUCAGGGAAGAAACGGUGAGGGCUAAUAUCCCUUGCUAAUGACGGUACCUGAAGAAUAAGCACCGGCUAACUACGUGCCAGCAGCCGCGGUAAUACGUAGGGUGCAAGCGUUAAUCGGAAUUACUGGGCGUAAAGCGUGCGCAGGCGGUUUUGUAAGUCUGUCGUGAAAUCCCCGGGCUCAACCUGGGAAUUGCGAUGGAGACUGCAAGGCUAGAAUCUGGCAGAGGGGGGUAGGAUUCCACGUGUAGCAGUGAAAUGCGUAGAGAUGUGGAGGAACACCGAUGGCGAAGGCAGCCCCCUGGGUCAAGAUUGACGCUCAUGCACGAAAGCGUGGGGAGCAAACAGGAUUAGAUACCCUGGUAGUCCACGCCCUAAACGAUGUCUACUAGUUGUCGGGUUUUAAUUAACUUGGUAACGCAGCUAACGCGUGAAGUAGACCGCCUGGGGAGUACGGUCGCAAGAUUAAAACUCAAAGGAAUUGACGG